Alligator mississippiensis (American alligator) is the source of this 1829-nucleotide long non-coding RNA. RefSeq lists it as uncharacterized. The transcript is spliced from 3 exons. NCBI's taxonomy places the organism in Eukaryota, Metazoa, Chordata, Crocodylia, Alligatoridae. The record is from RefSeq and is a predicted model, not a curated record.
CAUUAACUGAAGCUAAAGUAUGUAUCAAUCAUUGGUUUCUUAACUCUGUCUCUAAAAGAUGCUAAAACACAUUGAGACAGUAGCUGGCAUAAAAAUCCACAUAUAAAUUAACAGUGGCAUGGAAAAGGCCCAUACUCUAGGGUUGCCAUCAUACUGUAAACAGAGCCUCAGAGAACUCUGCAUCACUGGAGGAGUAUGCCUAGGUUGAUGUGGAAGUGAGAGGGAACACAGCAAGCUGCUUUGCUAAAGCACGUGGAUGGGAGCCAAGAGAAGCACCUGUUCUAAUUCUUGUUAAUUGCUUCCUAGCAGGAACAGUCUCCACACAGCCUGCUCAAGAAGAACCAGCUUGAAAAGUAAGUUACGCCGGAAAAAAUUCAACAGCAAUUAGGAAAUGGUCAUUGUGUUGUGAAAUUUAUAUUCACUCACAAACAGUAGUUACAGUCAACUCACCACAAUAUCUCUACACCUCACAUGUAUUCACAGGCAGUAGACAAGCUAGUCAAAGCUGGUUGCUGCGACAGUAGUUUUCUAUUGCCUAUAGGUUUUCUUCACUGUGCAUAUGGGCAUAUGCAGGGAAAUCAUAAAUGUAAUCACUUCCUGCACAAAAGAUGUUAGGGAAUUCUACCUACAAUCCUAAUCCACCUUUAUUCACAAAAAGCCCACACUGAUAACCAACCUUGCAAGAAAAAAUAUUCACAGCUAGAUUUGAAUUUCUACUAUGCAUUGUGCCCUCCUAUAAUGUAUGGAGUCGACCCUGAGCUAUGGUACAUGGGUCUUCAAGUGAUGAUAGUUAGUUUUUAGAUAUCCUUUCUAGAGAACCCUGCACAAAUGCUUACAAAUGUAAAUGAGAUCCAUUUUCAAAAACAGCUUUCAUGUCUACUAAUGUGCUGUAGUGUCUUUUUUUUUUAAGUUUAGGAUAUAUCCCUAAUGCCAGUUAACCAUUUUGUUUGAUGAUUUCAUUCCCUCUUUUUAGCCUGUGCGGUCUUCUUGGUUCCACCUACAAAAAAAUAUUUCCAAAAAUCAUAUGCCAUAGUGCUAGGAAAGUGCUUUAAUUUGCAUCAAACUGUGCCUGCUUGUCUUUUACCAGAAACAAACUUUUUGUUGGAACAUUCGGUCUUUUGUUGGAACUACACAGAGACACUGUGGCUGCCUGAACUGCUGCUUAUAUGGUUAAUGGGGCUCCAGGAGCCCCUAAGGUACCUAGGGCUGGGAUGCACUCAAUGCUUGAGAAGUUUGUUUUUUUAAAGAGACAGAGUGUGGCUUGCAUUGUUUGUAUUAUGUUAUAGCCCAGGGGCUUGUUUUUCUGUUGUCUUUUAUAUCGGUGGACCGGGCUGAGUCUACUGGGGAGGAGGAGACGUCAUUGGGACACACUACUGUGUAGAGCCCCAGCACCAGCGAAGAGGCCUAUGGAAAUACUCCAAGCACAUCACUGACCUGCUAGAAAAAGAAGUUGACAAGCAACUAGAUGUUAAAAUGAGAAUAACAUAAUCAGCAAUAUUGCGAAUGCACAUAAAGUUAUUUUGCAUCAAACUAAAUUGACAGUAGCAACUUCUGAGUGCUCAGCAUCCUUGAAAAUCAGAAAAAAGUCUUUUCUUCACUACUACAUCUGGCUGAGAAAGGAAGAAGAAAUUUUGUGAAAUUCUUCUUCAAUUUCAAAUAUCCUUUUCAUCUUGAAGAGUUCAAAGUAGGCCUUUGUGAUUUGAUAUAAUUUUGUCAUAUUUUCGUACAAAUUGUUCUUGAAAUUAUUAUGAGAACUAUUCUGAAAACAGUUUUAAAAUGUUUUGUUUUGUCAUUGUCCCUCCACCCCCACCCCACAAAUACAGUAAAUA